UGAAUAAGGACCGGCUAAUUCCGUGCCAGCAGCCGCGGUAAUACGGAAGGUCCGGGCGUUAUCCGGAUUUAUUGGGUUUAAAGGGAGUGUAGGCGGUCUGUUAAGCGUGUUGUGAAAUUUAGGUGCUCAACAUUUAACUUGCAGCGCGAACUGUCAGACUUGAGUACACGCAGCGCAGGCGGAAUUCAUGGUGUAGCGGUGAAAUGCUUAGAUAUCAUGAGGAACUCCGAUCGCGAAGGCAGCCUGCGGGAGUGUUACUGACGCUUAAGCUCGAAGGUGCGGGUAUCGAACAGGAUUAGAUACCCUGGUAGUCCGCACUGUAAACGAUGGAUGCCCGCCGUUGGCGCCCUGCGCCUGCGGCCAAGCGAAAGCAUUAAGCAUCCCACCUGGGGAGUACGCCGGCAACGGUGAAACUCAAAGGAAUUGACGGGGGCCCGCACAAGCGGAGGAACAUGUGGUUUAAUUCGAUGAUACGCGAGGAACCUUACCCGGGCUUGAAUUGCAGUCGCUGCCCACAGAGACGUGGGCUUCCCUUCGGGGCGUCUGUGAAGGUGCUGCAUGGUUGUCGUCAGCUCGUGCCGUGAGGUGUCGGCUUAAGUGCCAUAACGAGCGCAACCCCCUUUCCCAGUUGCCAUCGGGUGAUGCCGGGCACUCUGGGGACACUGCCACCGCAAGGUGCGAGGAAGGUGGGGAUGACGUCAAAUCAGCACGGCCCUUACGUCCGGGGCUACACACGUGUUACAAUGGCCGGUACAGAGGGACGGUGCAAUGCAAGUUGCAUCCAAUCUUGAAAUCCGGUCCCAGUUCGGACUGGGGUCUGCAACCCGACCCCACGAAGCUGGAUUCGCUAGUAAUCGCGCAUCAGCCAUGGCGCGGUGAAUACGUUCCCGGGCCUUGUACACACCGCCCGUCAAGCCAUGAAAGCCGGGGGUGCCUGAAGUUCGUGACCGCGAGGAGCGACCUAGGGCAAGACCGGU
RNAcentral lists this ribosomal RNA (977 nucleotides) under Prevotella nigrescens. RNAcentral's name for it is "bacterial SSU rRNA". It matches the Rfam family "Bacterial small subunit ribosomal RNA", at positions 483 to 1472 of the family's 1533-position model. Lineage: Bacteria; Pseudomonadati; Bacteroidota; Bacteroidia; Bacteroidales; Prevotellaceae. The record is from RNAcentral.